UACGGAGGGUGCGAGCGUUAAUCGGAAUUACUGGGCGUAAAGGGUGCGUAGGUGGUAUGAUAAGUCGUCUGUGAAAGACCUGGGCUUAACCUGGGUUGGUCAGAUGAUACUGUUGUACUCGAGUAUGGGAGAGGGUAGUGGAAUUUCCGGUGUAGCGGUGAAAUGCGUAGAGAUCGGAAGGAACACCAGUGGCGAAGGCGGCUACCUGGCCUGAUACUGACACUGAGGCACGAAAGCGUGGGGAGCAAACAGGAUUAGAUACCCUGGUAGUCCACGCUGUAAACGAUGUCAACUAGCUGUUGGUCAUAUGAAUGUGAUUAGUGGCGCAGCAAACGCGAUAAGUUGACCGCCUGGGGAGUACGGUCGCAAGAUUAAA
Molecule: ribosomal RNA, 376 nt
Filed under: uncultured bacterium
Lineage: Bacteria
Description: bacterial SSU rRNA
Rfam family: Bacterial small subunit ribosomal RNA
Source: RNAcentral